This is a long non-coding RNA of Chiroxiphia lanceolata (lance-tailed manakin), 1478 nucleotides long. RefSeq lists it as uncharacterized. The record is from RefSeq and is a predicted model, not a curated record. The transcript has 4 exons. NCBI's taxonomy places the organism in Eukaryota, Metazoa, Chordata, Aves, Passeriformes, Pipridae.
CCUUUCAGGAAGCAACAAAUAUAUUCAGAACAUACCGAACCUGGACAGUAACUGCAGUGUUAGAGUACUUAAUCUAUAAAUCCUCCCCCAAUGCUCACAGAAAUACAAAACCACUGUGAAUAUCAGAAGUUGGAUCUAGCUGACUUCUGGAUUACUUCAAAUCCCAUUGACUUAAGAGCAACUGCCCAAUAAAAAAUUCCAUCAAAACUGCUCAUCUGAUUUCAGCAUUAGUCUUCAAAAUAUCUGCUUUGGAGCUAUCUUCCUUAUAAAGGGAGAAUGACACCAGCAAGUAAUUUUGUGGACCAGCAGACAUCUCCAUCUACAGGACAGAGACAGCAAAAUGCAACACAGAUAUGAUUUUAUUUAGUCUUCUAAUUUGUGCUUCUUCUGGAACUAAAAUCUAUACAUUUUAUCUUCAUUAGGCCAUGAAACUGCCUUUCUGUCAUGUAUCUAGAACCAUGACCACCCCCAAAUCUAGAAGAAUCGAGUAACAAUUUGACAGCAACAAGUAUUUUACAAUAAUCCUGCAUUAGUGUGAAGCAUGAAACUUGCACAGACUGAGAACCUUGACAGAGGGAAAGAUGCUGCCAGAAUUAAGUUUUUCUCUACCACUUUUAUUCGGUGAAUGGAUCUCUAAAUCACUAAACAAAUCUCCCACAAUGCUUUUUCUUAUUCAAGAAACUGCCUGGUUGUAUUCAGAGGAUAAUGCAGGACUGUUUAAUAAAAGUGAAUUCUUCUUCGCUUAUAAUUUGGAAGGUUACCUGGAAGCUAAGGAGGAGGAAAACAAAUUUAAGGGAGGUCUAAUGAUUUAAGUAACCACUAGUACCAUAUGGAACUGGAUUUUAGCUUCAUUUCUGCUGCAAAGCAUCUGUGAUUGAAGUGCUGCACGGUUUAUUUGAAACAAAUAAUGCUUAUUCUGUGCAGGUAGUAGUCUUUUUACCUCAGAAACCAGAUUAAUUGUCUGUCUCACUGAAAGAGAUUAUGUAGUUCAUCCUCAAAUAUUUUGUUCUUUCACUUUCCUGCACAUAUUGAGUGUAUUUUAUGAUGAAAAAAACCUGAAAAGUGUCAAAAGAGACAUCCUCAUUUCAACUUCUUUUAUUCUUUCCAACUGGAAGGUAUUUGGAACAUUUUUAAAGGUUUGCAAGUAGGUGAAUAAAUAAAAAAUUACAGAGAGCAUUUCAAGUAUAAAGAUUUAGGAGGAAGGCUAAUAUUACUGAGAAAAAAAAGAAACAAAAAAACCCCCAACUUUUUAUCUAGAAGUUAAAAUAACCCAAGAAUUUCGUAAAUCUAGAAGAAGCUUUUGGUAACAGAGAAUUUUCAAUUUUGAAGGUAAAAAAAUAUUAUUAGAAGUCAAAUAGAAAAUUAACACAAGCUUGGUUUUUUGUAAACUGUUGUCGUUUAAAUUCUCCUGCAGUUUCUAGCUGCCAAGGAAACUGAAGUUUCUCUGAAACCUCCAUAAAUGUCCCUUGAUGAUGUGA